Molecule: long non-coding RNA, 1584 nt
Organism: Mustela putorius furo (domestic ferret)
Lineage: Eukaryota; Metazoa; Chordata; Mammalia; Carnivora; Mustelidae
Source: Ensembl
UGUUCCCAGAGCCAACUUUGAUUGGAUGGGAUGUUAAUAUCAGCACGUUUGUGGUUACUAACGCCUGCUCAGGGCCCCACGUUCGUCCUGGCCUCCUCCUGGGGGUCACACCUGCCCCUGAGAACUCAAGCUGAAGUGUACGUGGAGCCCAGCCCUCCUUGGGGUGCUUCAUGCCUGGGCCGCCCGGCGGCACCCUCCCGUCCAAAGGGAUGUUGUCUCAAGUCUUCACGGGUCAGUGAACUUUCUCAGUUCAGCUCCCUCUCUUGGCAGAGCCACCAGCUCUUGGGCAGGGCCCGGGCUCUGCCUCCUGGUCCAGUUACCAAAAGGUAAGCAAAAGUGAGCUGUGGCUUCAUUCAUGCACUCAACAAAUAUCCACGGAGGGUCUACCCGGUGCCAAGAGCCUCAGAUGGGGAGGUUGCGGCCAAGAGGGUUUGCAGAAUGCGGGCACAGCACUGAAAACGCCCCCCAGAGCCAGGAUGUGGGUCAGGGGGCUGAGAGAAUGUCCCAGAGACUGACCCUCCCCCUUUAGCUGCUGGAUUACGGAGAGCUGGGCAAGCCUGAGGAGAGGUGGGGCAGCCUGGGCAGCAGGGGCGGGGGCGUCAAAGGAUAGUGAGUGUUCAUCAGUCUGGAAGUAUUUCAACAUCUUGCCGAUUGUCCUCGUCCUAUUGAUAUUUGGCAGUUGGGGAAAAAUAAAUAAAGAAACCCAGCAAUGUCUCCCAUGUGGAGUUUGCCUCCUUCCAAGCACCAAGAAGCAGUCAGCUUGUCUUUUCUGUGCUUACAGGAGGGAUAUUGUUAUAAAAUCUUGCCCCAAGUGAAACCAGUAAGCAAAGGGUUAAGGGGGCUAAUUCCCAGCAGCAGACUAGUAAGAGCAGCUGCAACUUUUUACCCAGCCUCUUUUGUUUGCGGUUAGAUUUCCCUGACUCUCCUUGGGUGAGGUGGGUGGCAGGCCCGCUCUCCUGUCUCCCUGUGGGCUGCCCAUGGAGUAAACCCCUUUCCUGGCCGCACGCUGGACGUCUCAGUGAUUGGCUUUGUGGGCGCUGGGCAGAUGGACUUGGGUUUGGUUGCAAAACUAGCCACAGCUCCAUUUUCUGUGCUAGGCCUGUGUGGACUCAGGGACAAAUCAGGAGACAAGUUUCAGGCCACCAAGGCACAGGGGUUGUUCAGCAGAAGCCUUUGGUCUUCAUUUACUGCAAGACAGAGCGACAUUCUGGCAUGUCUGGAUGGUUGGGAUCGGAGAUGUGUCUGGACAGCCAUCCCCAGCACCCAGUCACCCCCACCCUCAAGGAGCAGAUGACCCUGACCACGAUGGGACUCCGAAGGGCCAUGUGGAAGAAAGCUGACCGUCAGCCAGAAACACCUGCCUGGGAAACACCUUCCCCUCUCCCCCCUUCUUCCCCCCAGAACGUGAGCAAGAAACAAACUAUUCUGUCAGACUCCCGGAAUCUGAAGGCGCAUUUAUCACAGCCUCUGUGUGACCCAGAUUCGUACAAGACCUAUUUUAAACACCGAUUCAGUGUUUUCCUGAGUCACACCUGUACACGCACAGCCAACCUUCUAACCAGGUGGAGUAUUUCCUUUGUGUGA